Long non-coding RNA from Vigna angularis (adzuki bean), 2005 nucleotides. RefSeq lists it as uncharacterized. The transcript is spliced from 4 exons. The record is from RefSeq and is a predicted model, not a curated record. NCBI's taxonomy places the organism in Eukaryota, Viridiplantae, Streptophyta, Magnoliopsida, Fabales, Fabaceae.
CUUCCUCUUUAACAAAGAUACGCCCUAAUCUGUCACAUUCAUGUUUGUAAGAAGAUUGAACUUUCUCCAUGCUUGCAAGCCACAAGGUUCUGGGACGCAAGCCACCGUGUGCUUGCUCACAGGCCACCGCGGGCCAUCGUGUCGCCGUCAAAGGACUUUAUGUCACCAUUUGCAAGCCUCCGGAUCACCGUUCGCCGGUCACGGCUUCCCCGCUUCUAGGCCUUUGUUUUAAGUAAGGUGCACCCAUAAAGUCUAGUUACAAAUCACUUGCUGAAUCUACUAUAAACAUUGAUAUUGGUCUCUCGGUCAAACUAUAAGGCCCCCAUGCUCUUCUAAAAACGGAGUCUGAACCAAUUCUGGGAAGGUUUUGAAGAUAGUCACUAUGUUAACAUUAAUUGUGUUGUUGAUGAUACCACCUCAACUCAUUAACUAUCAAGGCAUAUGGUGGAGAAGGAAAUUAAGUAGGGUGGUUGGUUUGUUGGCGAAUUGCUCUCAGUUCUACUACUUAUUAUAAUGGUGCCUCUCUUUCAUAUUUUUCAAAUUUCUUUGCAAUGUUAGUAUUGGAGUUUCCAUUUUUGUGUGAUUUUGAUUACUUAACUGAACUUCUCUAGAUCUCGUUCACACAGAAAGAAAAAUGAAAUAGGACAUGCUCCUUUCACUAAGUCAUAAAUUCUAUUUCAGAUACUUAUAAUGGAGACAUAAAUUAGAUACUGCAACCUCAAUCUCAUACAUAUGGUUCAAAUUCUCUGCAUAUGAACUUAUUCUAAUAGAUUUAUAAGAUGUUAUACGAGUAAAAAAUAUGAUAUCGAUAUGUUAAAUUAUUAAUAUACUAAUAUGUGUAAAUAAGUGAUGAAUGUAGUAAGUUAAGAUCUGUUUUCUUUUUUGGGUACGUUAAGGUUUCUUUGUCAAGCAUUACACAGAUGUUAUGCAUUUGUUUUUUCAUAUAAUAUAGAUACUUUUUCAGAUAAAGUUAGGUAUAAAUAGCGAUGGGGAAAUAGGUGGCUAGUUUGCUUUUUUAGUGCUGUGGCUGAACAACACGAAUGAGACUUUCAUUAUAAAUAUAUUUUUAUUAACCUUUGGUCCUAAAAUAAAUUCGUGUAAUGAAUUAUACCAUGUUCUUUUUUAUUUCCCAGUAUUAAAUCAAUAGUUUUAUUGUUCUUUCUCCUUUUCUCCUAAUAUAUUUUCGUUUUAUUGCCCUUGCUUUACAAAGCAGAUUAAAUCUUGAUUAACGAAUCAUGAUCACUACCACGCAAACUUUUUAACAAAAUACAAUGAAAUAAAGAAAUUAAUGCUUGGACAAAAUAAAAUAAAAGUUUAAUUGAGUCCUAUAUUCGUGAAUUACUGCCCAUUAUGGCAUAAUAAUUUUGACUCAAUUAUUUUACAAAAAAAAAAUCUUAGAUAUUGUAACAUUCCAAAAAUAUAGCUGUAAAUUAUAUUUUAGAGUUCUUACAUUUACAAUAAAAUAGAAUAGUUACAGGAAAAUAAAGCUAACUUACAGUUAUUUUAAAAUAACCAUAAAUUAAAAAUUUUACAAAAAUUUGUACUGAAACAAACCAUAUGAACAGAUCGAUUGGUUAUACAAGAGGUGUAUCAAUCGAACGGUCCUCUAUUGAAUACAAAAACAAGCAUAAGAUCAAACGGUCUUACUCUAACGGAAAUCAUCCUCUCUUGCUAGCGUAUGUUCUAGAGAACCCUCCUCACGUUCUACUCAUACCCACAGGAUGAUCAUUGCAAUGACAAAGACGACCGAACGAACAACAAGAUAAAACAGGAAAAAUAAGGGUAAGCUAGUGUAAUUUAAUUAACUAUGAUCAUAUAUAAUUCAGACAAACAUAAGAGUAAACAAAAACCAACAUGUAAAUCAUGCAACAACCAAACAUACAUUUCCAGUAAUGAUCGAACGUAUAAUUUAUACAAUGACCGACCACUUUUACUCUGACUUUUUGGACUGUAUGAAUUGUGUAGCUACGACGUUUUUGCACUCGGAUGGUGUAGUAGCUGGGAU